Molecule: unclassified non-coding RNA, 328 nt
Filed under: soil metagenome
Description: partial contains 5.8S ribosomal RNA, internal transcribed spacer 2, and large subunit ribosomal RNA
Rfam family: 5.8S ribosomal RNA (bases 1-120)
Source: RNAcentral
GAUGAAGAACGUAGCGAAAUGCGAUAAGUAGUGUGAAUUGCAGAAUUCAGUGAAUCAUCGAAUCUUUGAACGCACAUUGCGCCCCCUGGUAUUCCGGGGGGCAUGCCUGUCCGAGCGUCAUUACAACCCUCAAGCUCAGCUUGGUGUUGGGCCCCGCCGCCCCGGCGGGCCCUAAAGUCAGUGGCGGUGCCGUCCGGCUCCGAGCGUAGUAAUUCUUCUCGCUCUGGAGGUCCGGUCGUGUGCUCGCCAGCAACCCCCAAUUUUUUUCAGGUUGACCUCGGAUCAGGUAGGGAUACCCGCUGAACUUAAGCAUAUCAAUAAGCGGGGA